RNAcentral lists this ribosomal RNA (254 nucleotides) under uncultured bacterium. RNAcentral describes it as "partial 16S ribosomal RNA". It matches the Rfam family "Bacterial small subunit ribosomal RNA", at positions 524 to 777 of the family's 1533-position model. The record is from RNAcentral.
UACGAAGGGGGCUAGCGUUGUUCGGAAUUACUGGGCGUAAAGCGCGCGUAGGCGGUGAUCUUUGUCAGAGGUGAAAGCCUGGGGCUCAACCCCAGAAUUGCCUUUGAAACGGGAUCGCUAGAGUCCGAGAGAGGAUGGCGGAAUUCCUAGUGUAGAGGUGAAAUUCGUAGAUAUUAGGAAGAACACCGGUGGCGAAGGCGGCCAUCUGGCUCGGUACUGACGCUCAGGCGCGAAAGCGUGGGGAGCAAACAGGG